UGGCGAGAUGGGGCUUCUUUAUCAAUUCAAACUUUGCUGGGUCCUGCUAGGGUUCCAUCUUUCUUAAUCUUUUUUUGACCUUUGCCUUCAGAUUGACGUCAGUCGGUAGCACCUUUCUCAAUGCAAAUGUACUUUUGUGCGCACCCGAGAAGUUCCACAUACAUUCGAGGGAGUGUUUAUUCAGGAAAUAUGUGAACCUAGAAUUGUGUAACCUCCUCUUCAUGGCCAAAAUACCUCCAAGAUGGCAGCAUUAAAGCAUGCCAUAUAUUCC
This 271-nucleotide long non-coding RNA is filed under the name Elaeis guineensis (African oil palm). Its description in RNAcentral is "long non-coding RNA (EGUI_LNC013816)". Lineage: Eukaryota; Viridiplantae; Streptophyta; Magnoliopsida; Arecales; Arecaceae. The record is from RNAcentral.